This 253-nucleotide ribosomal RNA is filed under the name uncultured bacterium. RNAcentral's name for it is "partial 16S ribosomal RNA". It matches the Rfam family "Bacterial small subunit ribosomal RNA", at positions 524 to 776 of the family's 1533-position model. The record is from RNAcentral.
GACGAACCGUGCGAACGUUAUUCGGAAUCACUGGGCUUAAAGGGCGCGUAGGCGGAUUUGCAAGUCUGCGGUGAAAUCCUCCAGCUUAACUGGAGAAGUGCCGUGGAUACUGCGAGUCUCGAGGAAGGUAGGGGCAUCUGGAACUGCCGGUGGAGCGGUGAAAUGCGUUGAUAUCGGCAGGAACUCCGGUGGCGAAGGCGAGAUGCUGGAUCUUUUCUGACGCUGAGGCGCGAAAGCCAGGGGAGCAAACGGG